GGCGGACGGGUGAGUAAUGUAUAGUUAAUCUGCCCUUUAGAGGGGGAUAACAGUUGGAAACGACUGCUAAUACCCCAUACUCCUUUUACAUUAAUUGUAAUUGGGAAACGUUUUUUCGCUAAAGGAUGAGACUAUAUGGUAUCAGGUAGUUGGUGGGGUAAGAGCCACCAAGCCAAUGACGCCUAGCUGGUCUGAGAGGAUGAUCAGCCACACUGGAACUGAGACACGGUCCAG
RNAcentral lists this ribosomal RNA (234 nucleotides) under uncultured bacterium. Its description in RNAcentral is "partial 16S ribosomal RNA". It matches the Rfam family "Bacterial small subunit ribosomal RNA", at positions 97 to 334 of the family's 1533-position model. The record is from RNAcentral.